Triticum aestivum (bread wheat) is the source of this 4734-nucleotide RNA transcript. RefSeq lists it as uncharacterized. Lineage: Eukaryota; Viridiplantae; Streptophyta; Magnoliopsida; Poales; Poaceae. The record is from RefSeq and is a predicted model, not a curated record. The transcript has 11 exons.
UAUGAUGGAUGGUGAACAGAGAAUAACAACAUGAACGGUCGUGAUUCAGUAUUUUGUGCACUCAAAUUAUUGAACAGAAGGGGCAAGGAAAUAAUUGUGUUAUUUGUAUGAACUGUGUGUGUGCUUUCUUCAGGAUCCGAUUGAGAAAGUUUAGGUCCAGAUGACAAGAAAUAAAAUAUGCAAAUCCCAUGUUUUUUAAGGAUUUUUGUUUGUUAAUUCAAUGGUCCACUUCUAAACUGUUUGAUUUUCAAUGGUGGUGUUGUUGUUCAAGUAGUGGGUUUGUUCAUGAUGCACAUGGGGAAUAGCAUGAUUUUUGUGGUGAAUAUGUGGGAACUGUCAUGAUUUUAAGGAUUUCCCUUCUUUCUUCCUCUUGCUGAUAUAAAUUAUGUUUUUAGCAUUUUUUUCCCAAGCAAGCAUCUGCAAAAAGUUUCUUAUUUCAUUUUCCAGCUUUUGACCCUGAUUUGACCAGAUGCAGAGAUGUGAUGCUUGCUCUGUUGCCAGUGCAUCCUACUCUCCUGGCAACCAUAGUGCCCUCACCAUAACAUGAACAACAGAGGGCCGGUGCGCUCACCAUGACCUUGAUGGCGCAACGGAAGUUCGAGUCCUCUGUAGAGAAGCAUCCAGUGGCGGAGGCUAUGAGGUUGCAUUCUUAUUUCUCCUAGGACUAUGUUUAAACAUUCAACAACUCUGGCCAACAUAUGAAACAAGGCCAAGUCUCGCAUGGGGAUGCAGCCCAUCCUCUGCUUGCUUCCAGCACGGCGCCGGCCGGAUCCACCUCGGCCACAACCACGACACCGGCAUUGGUAGCCAUGUGCUUCUUCUCCAUCACCACAAAAUGAGAAUGCAAGGCACAAGCAAGGGAAGACCAUCGCUUCGCUCCUCUGGGCCGCCGCUGCUCCAACCCUACUGGACGCCAUGCAAGGUCGUGGACGUUGUGGAGCUGGACGAGAGGCUACAUUGUAUCCAGAAUACUAAGAUACAAUGUACGCUAUAUGGAGCAGCACGACCGCGUUGAUGGGUGUUGUCGCCGUCGACGGCAGAAGCGCAAGUCGCGGCUCAGGCCACUGCUCCGUUGGGGUCACCAUCGUGUGCGGUUGUUGUACUCGUGUUGCGCGUGCGCUCAGCGUACAACCGAGUCGUUGAUGCGGUGAGAGGUCGGUGUCGUGUCCGCCGGCUGAGCAGCAAGCCGGAGCUGCAAGUCUCUAAACAUGGUGGUGCUACUUUGUGGAUUGUGAUUAAGAAUGAUGACCCUGGUUAAUUAUAGGAUUUACCAUGAGAGCAUGAGAUCUUUGCACCUGUUUUUUGGUGCGUUUGUGCUCGUCGGCGGGACGGUGCAAGGCGCAAUUCCGACGCGGUUCCUUGCCGGUUGGACGGCGUUCACGCGCAACCCCGGCGUGCACUGAGUACUGCCUCGGCUACAACCUCCCUUGGUGAGCUCCAUCUUCCUCCUGCUCCUCUGCUUCGGCUACUGUAUGGGACAUGGCCAUGGCUAUAUUGAUCCAUCCAUCCAAUCCAGAAAUAAGAAUAGAAGCUCCUCAGGCCGCACCACAACGAUUUGGGAUUCCUGGCCGUCGGAUCGGGUGGCUUGAUCGGAUCUGGGCCGUCGGAUCGACCCUUGUAACGACCUCGUCCGUCGGAUAAAAAAAAGUUACUGCUGGAAUGAAUAGUUACUCCCGUUUCGUGCCACCGCUCGUAAAUAGCCUGCCCCUCCGGGGGCAUUCUCGCCAUUUGGCUUUGUCUGUGGCGGUGGCGUUCGUGCUAGGGCGAUGAUGAUUAACUGUGGCUGGAAUAAGUGUGCCUUUGAGCAAUCAAGGCACCUGUGGGUAUCAAGUUGGAUCCUCCCUGUUGUCUCUCGAAUCCUUUUUGAUCCCGUGAUACCUAUUGAUCUGUCCUUGGAUGGUCAUUCUUGUUGAGUGAUAACCAGGGCAGCUUCAUUGUGUAAACAGAUUGAUCUGGUGAUAAGAGAUGAUGGGGAUAGGUUAUAUGAUCGAGAAAAGGCGAAUCUGAGCCCACUAUGCAAUAAAACUGUAGCUACCUCCCCUAAUGUGUGUAGUAUUGAAGGCAAAAGAGAACUUUUAAUGUCUUGCUACUUUAAAAUUCCAAAAAGGUGCAUUCUUCCUUUGCUGGUUAGUUAACCAUGAUUUUUUGUUUUGCUUUGGUUCUGGUUGAGAUACUAAAGGUUGUUUAUAUAUGAAAAUAAUAGACACUUGUAGUUUUGUAUGCCUCACCUGUAGCUUAGGAUCCAGUGUUGUAAUGUUUUGCCUGGGUAAAAAUAACUCUAAUCAAUAAUAGUGGUUCUAUCCUUCUGAUUUGAACUGGGAGAGGGCCACUGAUUCUUGAUCUUAAGGUGACCCCAUUUUUCUAUGCCUCAUGCUCAUGCUGCUCUAUGUUCCCUUUUAAAGAUUCUUGCUUGCAUUUUGGGUUUGUUUUCUGCUCUAUGUUCCCUUUUAGCAUUUCUUUUCGCUGUUGCUGCAUUCCCUUUUUUGUAUAUUACAUGUUCUUUUUGUAUCUCAUUCUGCAUGUAACAUAACUAAAUAAUACAUUGAGAUGAAGGUUAUAUCUGAUAUCAUUGAGAGGAGCAGGCCAACAUCCCUACCUCCCUCUUCAACUCCCACCCAACACAAUUGUGGUGAGCUCCCCCUCUCAUCUACCUGCUAUUUGUACCUUCGGUUUUGGAUGCAUACAAAUUGUGUAUGCCAUGACUGAAACUCGAGCAGCAAAUUGUGUGUGUGUGCGUGUGUGUGUGCGCACGCACAUCACGUUUUUUUUUAAUUUUGGAUGGCUCAAACCGGCUGGAGCCAACUUUGUGUGCGUGUGAGUGCGCAUCCAUUGCAUGUAAAAAUCUUGUUUUUUCCAAACUCUUCUACUGUCGGAUAUGUAGAUAAAUUGCUUAUCUAGGAAGUUGUAGUACUCCAUGCCAUUGUCAAGGAUCUGCACUUUCAUCACACUAAAUGUAGUUGACUAAAAAGGUAAGUUAUGCCUUCUCUCUCGCUAAUCAAUUUUCUCUUGGCUAUUCUUUCUUUGCAGAUGAUCAUAUUUUGUGUAUUUUCACUAUGUAUUCUUGUAUCUAUAUAUGUUGAGCAGAUUGUUUCCUCUAUGACCAUGAUUCUAUAUGAUUACUGAGGUCUCUAACCUUCUCUUCUUUUCUAAUUAGAACAUGAUACUAAUCUGAUGUAUCUCCUAUUUGCGAUGACUAUUAAAUAUGGAGUUUCUGUGUUGUCUAAUGAAGCAGUCAAGUAUGCAAUCUGAGCAGAAUAUCAUUAAAAGGUCAUUGACCCAACAAAUUGAACUUAAUCUGAACCUCCCCUGUUCCUGCUAAAUAUCCCUAUUUUUCUGAACUUAACAAAGAACAACAUCAUAUAUUAGAUCAGCACACAAGUGAAUCGGAAAGCAUUUUAUUCAGUCUUGGUACCCUUAGUAUAAAAUUAUUCCUUACUGGUUGGGGAUUUGGAGGUGCAGUAUGUGGUUGGCGAAGAAUUUUUUUCUCCUAGGCUCCACACAUUCUCUUCCAUCUAAAACAACCGAUGCGGUCAAGUGGUGUAGUAGUUGAUGGUCGAGAGCUAAAAUCAGGGCACUGUUUUGUUUUAGGAUUUGUGUAAUCUUUAGAUCCACUUUUACCAUCACAAUUAUUUGCCUGAGCUCUGGUGAUUACUCCCAAGGAUUACUCCACCAAAUAACAUUACCGAGGUAUCACCGUGUGCCUGGCUGUUUAUUCAUGUGUAGUACUACAGUGUGUGGCCUUCUCUGUUUUGUCAAAUGCCAGUACUUGCGUUGUGACCCUUGAUGUAAUGUCUGUCAAUCUGUAACCCUUUGAAACAUGACCUGUUGCCUAUUGGUAUUACUGAUAUAAAAGAGAUUUUUUUUUUGUGCUGAUGCAGGAGGGCAGCAGCCUCGACGCGGCGAUCACGUCGCUCCUUAGCGUGGAGAUGUAGUGCCACCUGGCCGGCAGAAGGAAGUCCGCCGAUCGUCAAGAUCUGCUUCAAGGACGGCGCCUGGAAGAAGCUCAAUGACCAGAUCAUCGUCCUCUCCAAGAGGAGGGGUCAGUUCAAGCAGGUUGGUCCGCUGUCUACAGGUGCUCGUUAUUCUGGCCAGUUUGUCGUGCUCUAUCUUCGACCACCUCUUUGCAGUAACUUUUUCCCGCCUUGCUGGAGGAGAUGAAGCACAUGGCAAAGCAGGAGUUCAUUGCGCACUUAAGAAGAGGAGGCGUCCUGGAGCGCGGUGGAGGCAUUUUGGACGUGGAGCACGGCCUGGAGCACGGCCUUGCGGUUCCUGGAGCCUAGGGAGGCCAUGCGAGAAACCUGGGGCAGCAAGGUACUGCCUCUUGCUGCUCCUCCCCCAUGUCUGGAGCUCGCCUGGAGGUCCCCCACGCCUUGAGCUCGCUAGAGCAGAGGCCUGCGGAGCGCUCCCUGGGGCAAGGCCUGGGGCGAUCUGCAGGGAGGAGCAGAGGUCUGGAGCUGCAGGGAGGAGCAGAGGCCUGGAGCCGGCGGCGAGCUCUGGAGGCGGCGACGCGAGGAAGGAGCGAAUCACGAGGGAGAGGGAGGAGCGGAUCGCCAACUUUUCAAUUGUAUAAGGAUGUAAUUGAAAAAUGCUGUUUAGUUCAAAAUGUGUGUCCGUUGCGACAUAUAUUUCGGGACGGAGAAAGUACUAUUGACAUAGAUACACUUUAUUUAUCAAGGAUUUUUGUAUAUCAUAUUAUCACAGGAAAAUGAUCUAUGUAUGCACUUUUUAUGGUCA